GUUAGAAUAAGGAGGUGUGUCACUGAAGAAACACGUGCAAAGAAACACAUAAAAGUUAAUGUCCCACUGAAAGUAGAGGAAAUGAGUUUCAGAUGCUGAGCCUCCUUCAUGCGUCAGCAGUGAGAAGAAUAGUUAGAGCUACAACGAAGGGCCUUGAUGAGCAUCGCUUCACUCCUAGAAGGCACAUGAUAAUCUGAAAAACCUCAACUUAUAGAAAAAAAAUUCUGUCAGGAGGCCAGCCA
RNAcentral lists this long non-coding RNA (242 nucleotides) under Lepisosteus oculatus (spotted gar). RNAcentral's name for it is "lncRNA (ENSLOCG00000022429.1)". Lineage: Eukaryota; Metazoa; Chordata; Actinopteri; Semionotiformes; Lepisosteidae. The record is from RNAcentral.